GCAUGGUAUCUCUACCCUCAUACAGUUCACAACUUCCAUGCUCAAGAUUGGGAUUUGUUGUUCUUUCUUUGUAUCAACACUUCCAUUUAUGAUUUAGCUUUAAAGAUGUUACAAGAUAAUCCGCUAUUAGCACUCGCUCGGAAUGAGAACAAGGAAACAGGGUUGCAUGUUUUGGCACGAAAAUCUUCUGCUUUUAGUUGUGAAGGUAGAAGGUAUCCAAAUCAGUUCAUUAACUCACGUAAGAAUCCAAGUUUGGCUCACCAACUUGUAAGGUGUCUUUGGGAUACUCUUGUUUCUCUUGAUUGCACAGAGAUACAAUUGAUACGAG
RNAcentral lists this small RNA (328 nucleotides) under Vigna angularis var. angularis. Its description in RNAcentral is "Non-protein coding transcript". Lineage: Eukaryota; Viridiplantae; Streptophyta; Magnoliopsida; Fabales; Fabaceae. The record is from RNAcentral.